RNAcentral lists this ribosomal RNA (497 nucleotides) under uncultured bacterium. RNAcentral's name for it is "partial 16S ribosomal RNA". It matches the Rfam family "Bacterial small subunit ribosomal RNA", at positions 28 to 507 of the family's 1533-position model. The record is from RNAcentral.
GAUGAACGCUGGCGGCGUGCCUAAUACAUGCAAGUCGAGCGAACGGACGAGAAGCUUGCUUCUCUGAUGUUAGCGGCGGACGGGUGAGUAACACGUGGAUAACCUACCUAUAAGACUGGGAUAACUUCGGGAAACCGGAGCUAAUACCGGAUAAUAUUUUGAACCGCAUGGUUCAAAAGUGAAAGACGUUCUUGCUGUCACUUAUCGAUGGAUCCGCGCUGCAUUAGCUAGUUGGUAAGGUAACGGCUUACCAAGGCAACGAUGCAUAGCCGACCUGAGAGGGGGAUCGGCCACACGAGAACUGAGACACGGUCCAGACUCCUACGGGAGGCAGCAGUAGGGAAUCUUCCGCAAUGGGCGGAAGCCUGACGGAGCAACGCCGCGUGAGUGAUGAAGGUCUUCGGAUCGUAAAACUCUGUUAUUAGGGAAGAACAUAUGUGUAAGUAACUGUGCACAUCUUGACGGUACCUAAUCAGAAAGCCACGGCUAACUACGUG